This 254-nucleotide ribosomal RNA is filed under the name uncultured bacterium. RNAcentral describes it as "partial 16S ribosomal RNA". It matches the Rfam family "Bacterial small subunit ribosomal RNA", at positions 524 to 776 of the family's 1533-position model. The record is from RNAcentral.
UACGGGGGGAGCAAGCGUUGUUCGGAUUUACUGGGCGUAAAGGGCGCGUAGGCGGCCACCGCAAGUGGGUUGUGAAAUCUCCGGGCUUAACCCGGAAAGGUCAAUCGAUACUGCGGGGCUAGAGUGCAGAAGGGGCAACUGGAAUUCUCGGUGUAGCAGUGAAAUGCGUAGAUAUCAAGUGGAACACCAGUGGCGAAGGCGAGUCUCUGGACAUUUCCUGACGCUGAGGCACGAAAGCCAGGGGAGCAAACGGG